AUGGCGGCGGCGCUGCCGCCGGCCAAGUGCCGGGGGCAUGGAGAGAGGUUAGAUGCUGGUGAGUUGGGUGGCCAAUCCAUCAUGGACUGGAGCAUCUUCAAGCAAAGGGGGAGGGAGAUCCUUCGACGGGCGCAAGAUCGAGAACGUUGUUUGCGGCGGAUGAAGGCUAAAGCAGAUGCCUUCUUCAAUUCUUCUCCAAUUCAAGAGGAAAUCAAAGGAGGAGAGGAGGGGAUUGCUCCCACGGCUCCAAUGGGAGGGGAUUUCGCCCUCGAUCCCGCAUUCAGGGAUGUAAAUCGGGGGAAUAAAGGUCAGGUUAGUCCGUCAGUUUCUCUUGGUAUUAUUUCAGAUUUGAAGAAUACUGGAAAUGGACAGCAGGGUAUGAGUAAUUGGGAUGAUAAUUUCGGUGAUUUGGAGGCUGAUUUUGGGGAGGACAAACUGUAUUUCAGGAGAGAGAUCAUAGGGAAUUUUCAGCAACCUGCUCGUGUUGCUUCUUGCCCGCUCUCUGUUUCUGCCUGUGUGUUCCAGGAACCUAUGGGUGACCAGCGAGGGGAAAACAUGGAGGUGAACGGCAUUGGGGCAGGUCAAGAGACUCGCCGUCUUCCGCUGCGGGUCUCCCUGCUGCGGGUGCCUCCGACCAUGCCUCCCAUGGGGUGA
RNAcentral lists this ribosomal RNA (654 nucleotides) under Triticum aestivum (bread wheat). Its description in RNAcentral is "partial small subunit ribosomal RNA". Lineage: Eukaryota; Viridiplantae; Streptophyta; Magnoliopsida; Poales; Poaceae. The record is from RNAcentral.